This 77-nucleotide transfer RNA is filed under the name Alphaproteobacteria bacterium. Its description in RNAcentral is "tRNA-Pro". It matches the Rfam family "tRNA". From Rfam's summary of the family: Transfer RNA (tRNA) molecules are approximately 80 nucleotides in length. Lineage: Bacteria; Pseudomonadati; Pseudomonadota; Alphaproteobacteria. The record is from RNAcentral. RNAcentral also lists the same sequence under 2 other names.
CGGGGUGUAGCUCAGCCUGGUAGAGUACUUGGUUUGGGACCAAGGUGUCGGAGGUUCGAACCCUCUCACCCCGACCA